Molecule: small nucleolar RNA, 107 nt
Filed under: Gossypium hirsutum (cotton)
Lineage: Eukaryota; Viridiplantae; Streptophyta; Magnoliopsida; Malvales; Malvaceae
Description: Plant small nucleolar RNA R71
Rfam family: Plant small nucleolar RNA R71
About the family: R71 is a member of the C/D box family of snoRNAs containing the C (UGAUGA) and D (CUGA) box motifs. Multiple nearly identical copies of this snoRNA have been identified in Arabidopsis, and it is thought to function as a 2'-O-ribose methylation guide for 18S ribosomal RNA.
Source: Rfam by way of RNAcentral
AAACCAUAAAUCAGACAUUUCCUAAGUAAUUUCUUGAAUCGCUCCCAAGCUUCAUACAACGUCUCAUCCUCUGAUUGCUGAAAAGAUGUGAUAUCAUUCCUUAACUU